This 1976-nucleotide small RNA is filed under the name Pan troglodytes (chimpanzee). Its description in RNAcentral is "retained intron". Lineage: Eukaryota; Metazoa; Chordata; Mammalia; Primates; Hominidae. The record is from RNAcentral.
GGGGCCACCCUGACUCUGAAAGACGGUGUCCCGGCAGAGAACUUGCUUCACAGCUGCGUGAUGCCCUUUGCUUUCCCAGCCCACCGGAGAUCCUCCUUCAACUUUGAGUGCCUGCGCCGGCAGAGCAGCCAGGAAGAGGUCCCGUCGUCUCCCAUCUUCCCCCAUCGCACGGCCCUGCCUCUGCAUCUAAUGCAGCAACAGGUGAGCGGCCCACCUGGCCUUGUCCCCACACCUAGGGGCACCCCACAUAGGACCCCCAUCAGGUCACUCCCUUCUCCUUGGCCUUAAGCACCAGGAGGGAAGGAGAGAAUCUUCACCUACAGUCUAGUUAAUCUUUGUAACAAUCCUGUCAAAUAGCUAUGGCCAUGAGUCCCAUGCUGCCCAAGCUCACACAAGUGACUGCUGGCAUUUGAAUCCAGGGAGCCAGCUGCCAAAGCUGGCCUCGCUGCCCAGGUGCCCCCACCACCUCUUCCUGGCAUUGAAUACAGAGCCUGAUGUGAUCUGAGCUCAGGGAGUGGGGGCCACUUGGCUGAUUCUGAACAAUCGGAGCAGCCCUUCAUUUUCUCUAAGAAGUGGUUCCUUCAUUAAGUUUAUGGGUCCCUCCAUGGGCAGGGCCCUGUGGGUACUAUGCAGGGUUAACCUCCCCUGCCUACAAAGGGAGCAGUCUGGGGAGAACAAUUUGCCCACGUUGAGGGCGGCUGCACAGGCAAGAGGGUGGGGCCGGAGCCCACUCACCAGGGCUUUCCCUCAAGGAUAACAAUAUGGCGCUUUUUCUUUCUGAAAAUAUCACAUCAGAGAUGCCAUUCAUUCGUGCACGACAGGGUGGUGGGCAUGGACCUGUGCUGUUUACAGACAGCGUUCCCCGUCCCUCUCUGCAGAGUGUGAACCCCAAGGUGCAUCUGCUGUGGUGGGAUUGUAAGACCGGGGCUUGUACCCAGUGCUUUAGCACAUGCCAAAUGCCGGCUCUAGGAUGCAUUACUCCAGAGCAAAGAGAACCAGCUGUUUUCCUAUAAGUGCUGGGAAGUGGUGGUUUCCCCUGAAUGUACUUCGGUAUUUAAACCCAGCAUGAACUGGGUGGUGUGUUCACACCCACAGCUUGUUGGGCUUCCCUGAUUCUUCAUUCUGAAGCAAUUUCAUGAAUUAGCAACUGAUACCUCCUUGGGAAAAGCCAAAGGAAAUGCAUUAUGGAUUCGGGGUAAAAGAAAGCACAGUCUGCUAGAAAACAAAGUCAUCACCGCCCAUUCAUUCAGCGUACUUCAGUGUGCCCAUGUCCUUUCCAAGUCCUUGCCUGGACUGCCCCUGGAGAGCGCAGCGCCGGUGCUUGGUCUGUGUGCAGAAGGUUUGAGGCCCGGACCUCUGAGAACCUCUGGUCUCCCAACAGUCCCCUCUUUCCUCAGAUCAUGGCAGUUGCCGGCCUAGAUUCAAGUAAAGCCCAGAAGUACUCACCGAGUCACUCGACCCGGUCGUGGGCCACCCCUCCAGCAACCCCUCCCUACCGGGACUGGACACCGUGCUACACCCCCCUGAUCCAAGUGGAGCAGUCAGAGGCCCUGGACCAGGUGAACGGCAGCCUGCCGUCCCUGCACCGCAGCUCCUGGUACACAGACGAGCCCGACAUCUCCUACCGGACUUUCACACCAGCCAGCCUGACCAUCCCCAGCAGCUUCCGGAACAAAAACAGCGACAAGCAGAGGAGUGCGGACAGCUUGGUGGAGGCAGUGAGUACGGUUCUUGGCCGUGGUGGGCAGGAAGCACCAGGAGCAGCAGAGGUGCAACUGUAACAGCAGGAAGGGCAGUGGUGGGAGGGCAGCCAGGCUGUGAGCUAGGCUGCCUCAAUCAGACACCUCUGAGCAGCAGGAAUGUACCUGAAGCAUGAGUAAAAACUGGUCACCACCACUGGCUGCGGUGGCUUACGUCUGUAAUCUCAGCACUUUGGGAGGCCGAGGCGGGUGGAUCACCUGAGGUCAGCGGCUCAA